RNAcentral lists this ribosomal RNA (253 nucleotides) under uncultured bacterium. RNAcentral describes it as "partial 16S ribosomal RNA". It matches the Rfam family "Bacterial small subunit ribosomal RNA", at positions 524 to 776 of the family's 1533-position model. The record is from RNAcentral.
UACGUAGGGCGCAAGCGUUAUCCGGAAUUAUUGGGCGUAAAGAGCUCGUAGGCGGUUUGUCGCGUCUGCCGUGAAAGUCCAGGGCUCAACUCCGGAUCUGCGGUGGGUACGGGCAGACUAGAGUGAUGUAGGGGAGACUGGAAUUCCUGGUGUAGCGGUGAAAUGCGCAGAUAUCAGGAGGAACACCGAUGGCGAAGGCAGGUCUUUGGGCAUUAACUGACGCUGAGGAGCGAAAGCAUGGGGAGCGAACAGG